UACGGGGGGUGCAAGCGUUGUCCGGAAUCACUGGGCGUAAAGGGCGCGUAGGUGGCGUCGUAAGUCUGUGGUGAAAGCCCGGAGCUCAACUCCGGGUCUGCCGCGGAUACUGCGAGGCUUGAGUGCUGUAGAGGGGGGUAGAAUGCCGGGUGUAGCGGUGGAAUGCGUAGAGAUCCGGCAGAAGACCGGUGGCGAAGGCGGCCCCCUGGGCAGUAACUGACACUGAGGCGCGACAGCGUGGGGAGCAAACAGG
Molecule: ribosomal RNA, 253 nt
Filed under: uncultured bacterium
Lineage: Bacteria
Description: partial 16S ribosomal RNA
Rfam family: Bacterial small subunit ribosomal RNA
Source: RNAcentral